This is a microRNA precursor of Arabis alpina (gray rockcress), 100 nucleotides long. Lineage: Eukaryota; Viridiplantae; Streptophyta; Magnoliopsida; Brassicales; Brassicaceae. The record is from Rfam.
AGAAGGAAACAGAGCCAAGGUUAACUUGCCGGACACCAAAAUCGGUCUAAGAUUAGUUAGGUUAAAUCGGCAAGUCAUCCUUGGCUCAAUCUCAUUCUCU